GUGGUAAUGCCGGAUGCUCCAUCACACCGCAUGGUGUGUUGGGAAAGCCUUUGCGGCAUGGGAUGGGGUCGCGUCCUAUCAGCUUGAUGGCGGGGUAACGGCCCACCAUGGCUUCGACGGGUAGCCGGCCUGAGAGGGCGACCGGCCACAUUGGGACUGAGAUACGGCCCAGACUCCUACGGGAGGCAGCAGUGGGGAAUAUUGCACAAUGGGCGCAAGCCUGAUGCAGCGACGCCGCGUGAGGGAUGGAGGCCUUCGGGUUGUAAACCUCUUUUGUUAGGGAGCAAGGCACUUUGUGUUGAGUGUACCUUUCGAAUAAGCACCGGCUAACUACGUGCCAGCAGCCGCGGUAAUACGUAGGGUGCAAGCGUUAUCCGGAAUUAUUGGGCGUAAAGGGCUCGUAGGCGGUUCGUCGCGUCCGGUGUGAAAGUCCAUCGCUUAACGGUGGAUCCGCGCCGGGUACGGGCGGGCUUGAGUGCGGUAGGGGAGACUGGAAUUCCCGGUGUAACGGUGGAAUGUGUAGAUAUCGAAAAAAAAACCACCA
RNAcentral lists this ribosomal RNA (544 nucleotides) under Bifidobacterium breve. RNAcentral describes it as "bacterial SSU rRNA". It matches the Rfam family "Bacterial small subunit ribosomal RNA", at positions 160 to 714 of the family's 1533-position model. The record is from RNAcentral. Lineage: Bacteria; Bacillati; Actinomycetota; Actinomycetes; Bifidobacteriales; Bifidobacteriaceae.